Molecule: ribosomal RNA, 257 nt
Filed under: uncultured bacterium
Lineage: Bacteria
Description: partial 16S ribosomal RNA
Rfam family: Bacterial small subunit ribosomal RNA
Source: RNAcentral
UACGUAGGGUGCAAGCGUUAAUCGGAAUUACUGGGCGUAAAGCGUGCGCAGGCGGUUAUGUAAGACAGUUGUGAAAUCCCCGGGCUCAACCUGGGAACUGCAUCUGUGACUGCAUAGCUAGAGUACGGUAGAGGGGGAUGGAAUUCCGCGUGUAGCAGUGAAAUGCGUAGAUAUGCGGAGGAACACCGAUGGCGAAGGCAAUCCCCUGGACCUGUACUGACGCUCCAUGCACGAAAGCGUGGGGAGCAAACGAGGAU